This 452-nucleotide ribosomal RNA is filed under the name uncultured organism. Its description in RNAcentral is "bacterial SSU rRNA". It matches the Rfam family "Bacterial small subunit ribosomal RNA", at positions 28 to 507 of the family's 1533-position model. The record is from RNAcentral.
GACGAACGCUGGCGGCGUGCCUAACACAUGCAAGUCGAGCGAGGUAUUUAUACCUAGCGGCGGACGGGUGAGUAACACGUGGGUAACCUGCCUCAGAGAGGGGAAUAGCCUUCCGAAAGGAAGAUUAAUACCGCAUAAUAUAUACUUUUAGCAUUAUGAGUAUAUCAAAGGAGAAAUCCGCUUUGAGAUGGGCCCGCGGCGCAUUAGCUAGUUGGAGAGGUAACGGCUCACCAAGGCGACGAUGCGUAGCCGACCUGAGAGGGUGAUCGGCCACAUUGGAACUGAGACACGGUCCAGACUCCUACGGGAGGCAGCAGUGGGGAAUAUUGCACAAUGGGGGAAACCCUGAUGCAGCAACGCCGCGUGAAUGAUGAAGGCCUUCGGGUCGUAAAGUUCUUUGAUUGGGGACGAUAAUGACGGUACCCAAAAAACAAGCCACGGCUAACUACGUG